This 448-nucleotide ribosomal RNA is filed under the name uncultured bacterium. RNAcentral describes it as "bacterial SSU rRNA". It matches the Rfam family "Bacterial small subunit ribosomal RNA", at positions 355 to 796 of the family's 1533-position model. The record is from RNAcentral.
UGGGGAAUUUUGCGCAAUGGGCGAAAGCCUGACGCAGCAACGCCGCGUGUGUGAUGAAGGUCUUCGGAUUGUAAAGCACUUUCGACCGGGACGAAACCGGAUUGGCUAACAUCCAAUUCACUGACGGUACCGGGAGAAGAAGCACCGGCUAACUCUGUGCCAGCAGCCGCGGUAAUACAGAGGGUGCAAGCGUUGUUCGGAAUUAUUGGGCGUAAAGCGCGUGUAGGCGGCUUUGCAAGUCGGGUGUGAAAGCCCUCAGCUCAACUGAGGAAGUGCGCCCGAAACUGCAGAGCUUGAGUACCGGAGAGGAUGGUGGAAUUCCCCAAGUAGAGGUGAAAUUCGUAGAUAUGGGGAGGAACACCGGUGGCGAAGGCGACCAUCUGGACGGAUACUGACGCUGAGACGCGAAAGCGUGGGGAGCAAACAGGAUUAGAUACCCCCGUAGUCC